This 164-nucleotide ribosomal RNA is filed under the name Strychnos dinklagei. RNAcentral describes it as "5.8S ribosomal RNA". It matches the Rfam family "5.8S ribosomal RNA". From Rfam's summary of the family: 5.8S ribosomal RNA (5.8S rRNA) is a component of the large subunit of the eukaryotic ribosome. It is transcribed by RNA polymerase I as part of the 45S precursor that also contains 18S and 28S rRNA. The record is from RNAcentral. Lineage: Eukaryota; Viridiplantae; Streptophyta; Magnoliopsida; Gentianales; Loganiaceae.
AAAACGACUCUCGGCAACGGAUAUCUCGGCUCUYGCAUCGAUGAAGAACGUAGCAAACUGCGAUACUUGGUGUGAAUUGCAGAAUCCCGUGAACCAUCGAGUCUUUGAACGCAAGUUGCGCCCGAAGCCAUUAGGCCAAGGGCACGUCUGCCUGGGCGUCACGC